GAGUUGACCCAAGCUGAACUCGUU
This 24-nucleotide non-coding RNA is filed under the name Arabidopsis thaliana (thale cress). Lineage: Eukaryota; Viridiplantae; Streptophyta; Magnoliopsida; Brassicales; Brassicaceae. The record is from RNAcentral.